UUUCCCUACGGGGCGCAACAGUAGGGAAUUAUCGUCAAUGGGCGCAAUCCUGAACGAGCGAUGCCGCGUGAGUGAAGAAGGCCUUCGGGUCGUAAAGCUCUGUUGCGGGGGAAAAAAGGCAGCAUCAGGAAAUGGGUGCUGACUGAUGGUGCCCCGCCAGAAAGUCACGGCUAACUACGUGCCAGCAGCCGCGGUAAUACGUAGGUGGCGAGCGUUAUCCGGAAUGAUUGGGCGUAAAGGGUGCGCAGGCGGUCCUGCAAGUCUGGAGUGAAAGGCAUGAGCUCAACUCAUGCAUGGCGUUGGGA
Molecule: ribosomal RNA, 305 nt
Filed under: uncultured bacterium
Lineage: Bacteria
Description: bacterial SSU rRNA
Rfam family: Bacterial small subunit ribosomal RNA
Source: RNAcentral